CAGCCGUGUGUUCAGCCCAGAGCGAACUAUUCUUUCGCCUUUUACUAAAGAAUACCGUGUGCGGGACACAACAUCGGCUUAUACACAUUUUUGGAACGCUCCUUCAUUGGGGCAC
Molecule: small nuclear RNA, 115 nt
Organism: Marchantia polymorpha subsp. polymorpha
Lineage: Eukaryota; Viridiplantae; Streptophyta; Marchantiopsida; Marchantiales; Marchantiaceae
Rfam family: U5 spliceosomal RNA
About the family: U5 RNA is a component of both types of known spliceosome. The precise function of this molecule is unknown, though it is known that the 5' loop is required for splice site selection and p220 binding, and that both the 3' stem-loop and the Sm site are important for Sm protein binding and cap methylation.
Source: Rfam